AACGAACGCUGGCGGCAUGCCUAACACAUGCAAGUCGAACGAUACCUUCUGGUAUUUUUACGCACUGGUUCGUAACCCAUGGGAACCUUCCCUUAGGUUCGGACUACCUUCCCGAAAGGGGUGCUAAUUCCGGAUAAUGUCUUCGACCCAAUGAUUUCUCGCCUUUGGAUGGGUCCGCUUUGAAUUAGCUAGUUGGUAGGGUAAAAGCCUUCCAAGGCGGCGUUCCAUAGUUGGUCUGAGAGAAUGAUCAGCAACACUGGGACUGAGACACGGCCGAGACUCCUACGGGAGGGAGCAGUGGGGAAUAUUGGAAAAUGGGCGAAAGGCUGAACCAUCAAUGCCGGGUGAGUGAUGAAGGCAUUAGGGUUGGAAAGCGAUUGUACAAGGGAUAAUAAUGACAGUACCGGGAGAAGAAGCUCAGGCUAACUCAGUG
Molecule: ribosomal RNA, 433 nt
Filed under: uncultured bacterium
Lineage: Bacteria
Description: partial 16S ribosomal RNA
Rfam family: Bacterial small subunit ribosomal RNA
Source: RNAcentral